GUGGGGAAUAUUGGACAAUGGGCGCAAGCCUGAUCCAGCCAUGCCGCGUGAGUGAUGAAGGCCUUAGGGUUGUAAAGCUCUUUCACCGGUGAAGAUAAUGACGGUAACCGGAGAAGAAGCCCCGGCUAACUUCGUGCCAGCAGCCGCGGUAAUACGAAGGGGGCUAGCGUUGUUCGGAAUUACUGGGCGUAAAGCGCACGUAGGCUGAUAUUUAAGUCAGGGGUGAAAUCCCGGGGCUCAACCCCGGAACUGCCUUUGAUACUGGGUAUCUUGAGUAUGGAAGAGGUCAGUGGAAUUGCGAGUGUAGAGGUGAAAUUCGUAGAUAUUCGCAGGAACACCAGUGGCGAAGGCGGCUGACUGGUCCAUUACUGACGCUGAGGUGCGAAAGCGUGGGGAGCAAAUAGGAUUAGAUACCCCAGUAGUCC
This 425-nucleotide ribosomal RNA is filed under the name uncultured bacterium. RNAcentral describes it as "partial 16S ribosomal RNA". It matches the Rfam family "Bacterial small subunit ribosomal RNA", at positions 354 to 796 of the family's 1533-position model. The record is from RNAcentral.